Molecule: ribosomal RNA, 492 nt
Filed under: uncultured bacterium
Lineage: Bacteria
Description: partial 16S ribosomal RNA
Rfam family: Bacterial small subunit ribosomal RNA
Source: RNAcentral
AGUGAACGCUGGCGGUAGGCCUAACACAUGCAAGUCGAACGGCAGCACAGUAAGAGCUUGCUCUUACGGGUGGCGAGUGGCGGACGGGUGAGGAAUACAUCGGAAUCUACUUUUUCGUGGGUGAUAACGUAGGGAAACUUACGCUAAUACCGCAUACGAUCUACGGGUGAAAGCAGGGGAUCUUCGGACCUUUCGUGAUUCAAUUAGCCGAUGUCGGAUUAGCUAGUUGGCAGGGUAAAGGCCCACCAAGGCGACGAUCCGUAGCUGAUCUGAGAGGAUGAUCAGCCACACUGGAACUGAGACACGGUCCAGACUCCUACGGGAGGCAGCAGUAGGGAAUAUUGGACAAUGGGCGCAAGCCUGAUCCAGCCAUACCGCGUGGGUGAAGAAGGCCUUCGGGUUGUAAAGCCCUUUUGUUGGGGAAGAACAGCAGCAGGUUAAUACCCCGCUGUUCUGACGGUACCCAAAGAAUAAGCCCCGGCUAACUUCGUG